UAAUACAUGCAAGUCGAACGCUUUGUGGUUCAACUGAUUUGAAGAGCUUGCUCAGAUAUGACGAUGGACAUUGCAAAGAGUGGCGAACGGGUGAGUAACACGUGGGAAACCUACCUCUUAGCAGGGGAUAACAUUUGGAAACAGAUGCUAAUACCGUAUAACAAUGACAACCGCAUGGUUGUUAUUUAAAAGAUGGUUCUGCUAUCACUAAGAGAUGGUCCCGCGGUGCAUUAGCUAGUUGGUAAGGUAAUGGCUUACCAAGGCGAUGAUGCAUAGCCGAGUUGAGAGACUGAUCGGCCACAAUGGGACUGAGACACGGCCCAUACUCCUACGGGAGGCAGCAGUAGGGAAUCUUCCACAAUGGGCGAAAGCCUGAUGGAGCAACGCCGCGUGUGUGACGAAGGGUUUCGGCUCGUAAAACACUGUUGUAAGAGAAGAAUGACAUUGAGAGUAACUGUUCAAUGUGUGACGGUAUCUUACCAGAAAGGAACGGCUAAAUACGUGCCAGCAGCCGCGGUAAUACGUAUGUUCCAAACGUUAUCCGGAUUUAUUGGGCGUAAAGCGAGCGCAGACGGUUAUUUAAGUCUGAAGUGAAAGCCCUCAGCUCAACUGAGGAAUUGCUUUGGAAACUGGAUGACUUGAGUGCAGUAGAGGAAAGUGGAACUCCAUGUGUAGCGGUGAAAUGCGUAGAUAUAUGGAAGAACACCAGUGGCGAAGGCGGCUUUCUGGACUGUAACUGACGUUGAGGCUCGAAAGUGUGGGUAGCAAACAGGAUUAGAUACCCUGGUAGUCCACACCGUAAACGAUGAGUGCUAGGUGUUUGAGGGUUUCCGCCCUUAAGUGCCGCAGCUAACGCAUUAAGCACUCCGCCUGGGGAGUACGACCGCAAGGUUGAAACUCAAAGGAAUUGACGGGGACCCGCACAAGCGGUGGAGCAUGUGGUUUAAUUCGAAGCAACGCGAAGAACCUUACCAGGUCUUGACAUCCCUUGACAACUCCAGAGAUGGAGCGUUCCCUUCGGGGACAAGGUGACAGGUGGUGCAUGGUUGUCGUCAGCUCGUGUCGUGAGAUGUUGGGUUAAGUCCCGCAACGAGCGCAACCCUUAUUACUAGUUGCCAGCAUUUAGUUGGGCACUCUAGUGAGACUGCCGGUGACAAACCGGAGGAAGGUGGGGAUGACGUCAAAUCAUCAUGCCCCUUAUGACCUGGGCUACACACGUGCUACAAUGGCGUAUACAACGAGUUGCCAACCCGCGAGGGUGAGCUAAUCUCUUAAAGUACGUCUCAGUUCGGAUUGUAGGCUGCAACUCGCCUACAUGAAGUCGGAAUCGCUAGUAAUCGCGGAUCAGCACGCCGCGGUGAAUACGUUCCCGGGUCUUGUACACACUGCCCGUCACACCAUGAGAGUUUGUAACACCCAAAGCCGGUGGGGUAACCUUCGGGAGCCAGCCGUCUAAGGUGGGACAGAUGAUUAGGGUGAAGUCGUAACAAGGUAACCA
RNAcentral lists this ribosomal RNA (1498 nucleotides) under bacterium LF47. Its description in RNAcentral is "bacterial SSU rRNA". It matches the Rfam family "Bacterial small subunit ribosomal RNA". The record is from RNAcentral.